UCCCUUCUAGCUUAAGUUGAGAAAGCGUUAGUUUGAAGAGCUAGAGAUACUGGUUUGUGGUGGGAA
RNAcentral lists this transfer RNA (66 nucleotides) under Echinochasmus japonicus. RNAcentral describes it as "tRNA-Phe". The record is from RNAcentral. Lineage: Eukaryota; Metazoa; Platyhelminthes; Trematoda; Plagiorchiida; Echinochasmidae.